RNAcentral lists this ribosomal RNA (478 nucleotides) under uncultured bacterium. RNAcentral describes it as "partial 16S ribosomal RNA". It matches the Rfam family "Bacterial small subunit ribosomal RNA", at positions 28 to 523 of the family's 1533-position model. The record is from RNAcentral.
GACGAACGCUGGCGGCGUGCUUAACACAUGCAAGUCGAACGGUAAGGCCCUUCGGGGUACACGAGUGGCGAACGGGUGAGUGACACGUGGGUGAUCUGCCCUGCACUUCGGGAUAAGCCUGGGAAACUGGGUCUAAUACCGGAUAGGACUCCGGACUGCAUGGUCUGGGGUGGAAAGCUUUUGCGGUGUGGGAUGGGCCCGCGGCCUAUCAGCUUGUUGGUGGGGUGAUGGCCUACCAAGGCGACGACGGGUAGCCGGCCUGAGAGGGUGACCGGCCACACUGGGACUGAGAUACGGCCCAGACUCCUACGGGAGGCAGCAGUGGGGAAUAUUGCACAAUGGGCGCAAGCCUGAUGCAGCGACGCCGCGUGAGGGAUGACGGCCUUCGGGUUGUAAACCUCUUUCAGCAUCGACGAAGCGAAAGUGACGGCAGGUGCAGAAGAAGGACCGGCCAACUACGUGCCAGCCGCCGCGGUAA